RNAcentral lists this long non-coding RNA (1670 nucleotides) under Marmota monax (woodchuck). Lineage: Eukaryota; Metazoa; Chordata; Mammalia; Rodentia; Sciuridae. The record is from RNAcentral.
CUCAGCUCUGAACGCUUCCCCCACCCCGCCCCGGAGUGGACAAGAAAUAAAAAUACUGGGAAAUGAGGUGACAAUGGAGAGUGGUUCUGGGUCCCUGCUGGGAGGUAAGUCUGACCAGCCUCAGCCCCGCAGCUGGGCAGCCUCUAAGGCCUGUGCAGAGACCCAACUUCCGGUUUCUGGUAAGAGUCUACCCUCAAAAGCAAAACUGGAGCACAGCGGGUGCCCGGGAAGGUUCCUUUCCAAGUGCGCCCUGGGGCCGGGUGCUUGUUCCUCCUUGCACAUGCGCACCCUGCGAUCUUUCUGCGACCUCCAGGCAGAUUUCAACCCUGAGUGCCCUCGUGCUGGGGCGGACCUGGCAGGCAGGACCUACGCCUGCUGGCCUUUCCUGCACCCGGAGCCCACCAGGCCUGGCUCUUAUCCUGGUUCCUGAGCCACCGCAGGGCUCACAAUCCUCCAUCUAUUCCCAUGGGACAGUGCACAGCUUUGGCCUCUCAAUGGCUUUUUUGUAUGUUGUUUUUUUUUUCUUCCUUUUACACAUCUAGCAGGAGAUUCAGACAGCGUGAGGGGUGGAAAAUAUGUACACGCACGCGUCCUUUCUCUGAAAUAAUUAAGAAGGUGGCGCACACCAAUUGGGCAGCUUAAAAAAACACCUUCGUCUUCCAACAGCCGGUAGGAAAUGCCACUGUGAAGUCGCUGACCACUGUCACUUCCUGGGCUCCUUCUCACAAAUGACCUGGAUCUUGACUCAGCCUUGGAGCCAGUCAGUUUUAGUUCCACUCUCCAGUCCCUGAUAGGAAUGCUGGUUUGUCCUUACUUGCAAGUUUUAUUUCUACUUCCUGAAUUUACAAGAAAACCGUCCUGAGGGUGAUGAAGCCCUACUAGAGCUGUGUUUGCUGUUAAUUCCAGCCGCUGCAGAAGGACAAUGACCAGUACCCUCCAUUGAUAUGCAGUGAGAGGAGAUUUCUGAAUGAUCCCCCUAGAUUUCCACGCUCCACUGGGUGUAAAAUACAAAACUUCAGAUCCUAGCAGCUGGCCUUUCAAACAGACCAAUUUUUAAAAACGAAUGGACCUUAGCCAAUAAGAAAUCUAACAUUGCAGCUCAUCAGAAGUACUUGUUCAGAAAAAGAAGCCUGGGAGUGAAGUGGAAACAAGGCCUUUGAAAUGUAGCUUGGCCUAAACAGCACCACAUUUUAGAAGUUUCCUCCCCAUUGCACAUUCUUGAUGGUGGAGAGGCCAGUGAGCUGCAGGGUCUUCACCCAGUCUGAGCCCUCUUUGGCCCCAGGCUUCCCCUCCCCUCCCCUGCCGCUGAGGCCCAGCAUCUGGGAGAACUUUGAAACUGCUCCCCUUCCCCUUUGGCAGCGUGGGCCAAGCACCAAAACGCUCCAGUGAACACCAGCGCCAUCAUCCUUAACGCGAAACAGCUGCCUAGGCCUGGCGCAUCCACCAGACGCCCCCACCCCUCCUUGCUCAGCUGUGAGUCACAAGAGACCUUGGCUAGUGCAGAGCCAGCGAGAGGGGAUGCACGCGGGAGGGGAUUGGUUGAUAGAGCCCAGCUGUUGAUAAGGCAUAUUGCUAAAUGUCUUACCUACUUUGGAAAAAGUGUCUGAUUUCUGUGUGUGAGCCUGCGGGGGAGGGGGUCGAGAAGAAAAAACAUGAUUUAUGAACUUGAG